AGAGGGGGCAAGCGUUAUUCGGAAUUAUUGGGCGUAAAGGGCGCGUAGGCGGUCGUUCAAGUGGUAGGUGAAAUCCCUCGGCUCAACCGAGGAGCUGCCCGCCAAACUGAAUGACUUGAGUCCGGGAGAGGUGAGUGGAAUUCCCAGUGUAGCGGUGAAAUGCGUAGAUAUUGGGAGGAACACCAGUGGCGAAGGCGGCUCACUGGACCGGCACUGACGCUGAGGCGCGAAAGCGUGGGGAGCAAACGGGAUUAGAUACCCCGGUAGUCCACGCUGUAAACGAUGAGUGCUUGGUGUAGCGGGUAUCGACCCCUGCUGUGCCGAAGCUAACGCAUUAAGCACUCCGCCUGGGGAGUACGGUCGCAAGGCUG
RNAcentral lists this ribosomal RNA (371 nucleotides) under uncultured bacterium. RNAcentral describes it as "bacterial SSU rRNA". It matches the Rfam family "Bacterial small subunit ribosomal RNA", at positions 527 to 896 of the family's 1533-position model. The record is from RNAcentral.